GUUAGCUAUAUAGUCAUUUGGAAUAGUAUUUGGAAUGUUUUUUUAGUUUUGUUGCAUUCGGCUUGGGCCUGUCCGUGGUCGACCCUAUUAUCCUUCAUAACUCAUCUUCUUGGUCCAUCAUGUUCAACUCUUCAACCUGUACACAGAAAAUACCACAUAAGUUAUAUCUAGAGAGGAAAACAUCACUUUCCCCUUCAAUUCCUCCCUAAUACAGGAACUCAUUUUUCACCUGAAACUUACUAAACCAAUUGACACAGCAUUGAAGAAGGGAACUUCGUCUCCCUCCUUCAUGCAUCAUUCAUCACCCAAACUCAUCCCCAC
This 321-nucleotide long non-coding RNA is filed under the name Vigna radiata. RNAcentral's name for it is "long non-coding RNA (VRAD_LNC010938)". Lineage: Eukaryota; Viridiplantae; Streptophyta; Magnoliopsida; Fabales; Fabaceae. The record is from RNAcentral.